Molecule: ribosomal RNA, 253 nt
Filed under: uncultured bacterium
Lineage: Bacteria
Also listed under: 1 other name
Description: partial 16S ribosomal RNA
Rfam family: Bacterial small subunit ribosomal RNA
Source: RNAcentral
UACGGAGGGUGCAAGCGUUAAUCGGAAUUACUGGGCGUAAAGGGCACGCAGGUGGCUUGGCAAGUCGGAUGUGAAAGCCCCGGGCUUAACUUGGGAAUUGCAUUCGAUACUGCCGAGCUAGAGUAUGGGAGAGGAAAGCGGAAUUCCCGGUGUAGCGGUGAAAUGCGUAGAUAUCGGGAGGAACAUCAGUGGCGAAGGCGGCUUUCUGGCCCAAUACUGACACUCAUGUGCGAAAGCGUGGGGAGCAAACAGG